Molecule: small nuclear RNA, 107 nt
Filed under: Meriones unguiculatus (Mongolian gerbil)
Lineage: Eukaryota; Metazoa; Chordata; Mammalia; Rodentia; Muridae
Source: RNAcentral
GUGCUCACUUCAGCAGCACAUAUACUAAACCUGGAACAAUACAGAAAAUAUUAUCAUGGCCCAUGUGCAAGAAAUAGGCUUUGCAAUUUAAAACAUUACUUGUUUUU